UACGUAGGGUGCGAGCGUUAAUCGGAUUUACUGGGCGUAAAGCGUGCGCAGGCGGACCGGUAAGACAGAUGUGAAAUCCCUGGGCUUAACCUAGGAAUUGCACUUGUGACUGGCGGGCUCGAGUACGGUAGAGGGGGGUGGAAUUCCUGGUGUAGCAGUGAAAUGCGUAGAGAUCAGGAGGAACACCGAUGGCGAAGGCAGCCCCCUGGGCCUGUACUGACGCUCAUGCACGAAAGCGUGGGGAGCAAACAGG
RNAcentral lists this ribosomal RNA (253 nucleotides) under uncultured microorganism. RNAcentral describes it as "partial 16S ribosomal RNA". It matches the Rfam family "Bacterial small subunit ribosomal RNA", at positions 524 to 776 of the family's 1533-position model. The record is from RNAcentral.